AUUGAACGCUGGCGGCAUGCUUUACACAUGCAAGUCGAACGGCAGCGCAGUAUUAGGUUUGUCUGAGGGUGGGGGAGUGGCGGAUGGGGGAUCGGUACAUCCCCAGCUACUUUUGCUUGGGGGGUGAAGGAGGGAAACUUACGCCAAUACCGCUGACGGCGUAAGGGUGAAAGCGGGGGACCUUGGGACCUUGCACGAUCGGACGUGGGGAUGUCGGAUUAGUUAGUUGGUGGGGUAAAGGCUCACCAAGGCGACGAUCCGUAGCUGGUCUGAGAGGCCGACCAGCCACACUGGAACUGAGACACGGCCCAGACUCCUACGGGAGGCAGCAGUGGGGAAUUUUGGACAAUGGGGGCAAGCCUGAUCCAGCCAUGCCGCGUGCGUGAAGAAGGCCUUCGGGUUGUAAAGCGCUUUUGUUCGGGAAGAAAUGCUGUGGGUUAAUACCCCGGGGGUAUGACGGUACCGGAAGAAUAAGCACCGGCUAACUACGUG
Molecule: ribosomal RNA, 492 nt
Filed under: uncultured bacterium
Lineage: Bacteria
Description: partial 16S ribosomal RNA
Rfam family: Bacterial small subunit ribosomal RNA
Source: RNAcentral